GAAGCAGGAGAAUCCCUUGAACCAGGGAGGCGGAGGUUGCAGUGAGCCAAGAUGGCGCCACUGCGCUACAGCCUGGGCAACAGAGUGACAGAGUAAGACGCUGUCUCAAAACAAAUAAACAUUUAUUAAGCACUUAUCCCUGUGUUUGGCACCUGGAAUCUCAUGAAAAUUGUGUGAAUUACAGAUGAUCCCUAUUUUACAGGUGGAAAAAUGGAAGCUCAGAGAGGUUAAUCAACUCACCCAGGAAUACAGCAGGCACAUGGACGUGGCAAAGCCGAUUCAAACCCAGAUUACUGACUUUAAUGUUGGUCCUUGCACCUUACCACCACCUGUCUGGUCACCCUGGCCCUCUCUGCUGUCGAACUGCUGUGUGACCAUGGGCAAGACACUUCCCUCUGUGAUCCUGUCUGACCCCUAGUCUCCUCUUUAGGAGGAUGAGGAUUUUUUUUUUUUUUUUUUUUUUUUUUUUUUUUGAGACGGAGUCUUGCUCUGUAGCCCAGGCUGGGGUGCAGUGGCGUGAUCUCAGCUCACUGCAAGCUCCGCCUCCCGGGUUCAUGCCAUUCUCCUGCCUCAGCCUCCGAGUAGCUGGGACUACAGGUGCCUGCCACCACGCCCGGCUAUUUUUUUGUAUUUUUAGUAGAGACCGGGUUUUACCGUGUUAGCCAGGAUGGUCUCGAUCUCCUGACCUCGUGAUACAUCCACCUUGGCCUCCCAAAGUGCUGGGAUUACAAGUGUGAGCCACCGUGCCCGACUUUUUUUUUUUGUUUGUUUUUGAGACAGAGUCUCACUCUGUUGCCCAGGCUGGAGUUCAGGGACCUGAUCUCGGCUCACUGCAACCUCCACAUCCCGGGUUCAAGAGAUUCUCCUGCCUCAGCCUCCAGAGUGGUUGGGAUUACAGACAUGCGCUAUCAUGCCCGGUUGUUUUUCUUUUUUUUUUUUUUUUGAGACGGAGUCUCGCUCUGUUGCCCAGGCUGGAGUGCAGUGGUGUGAUACCGGCUCACCGCAACCUCUGCCUCCCGGGUUCAAGUGAUUCUCCUGCCUCAGCCUCCCAAUUAACUGGGACUACAGGUGCCCACCAUCACGCCCGGCUAAUUUUUGUAUUUUUAGUAGAGACGGGGCUUCGUCAUCUUAGCCAGGCUGGUCUCGAACUCCUGACCUCAUAAUCCACCAGCCUUGGCAUCCCCAAGAGCUGGGAUUACAGGCAUGAGCCACCGCACCUGGCCGUCUUACCAAAAUUUUCAGAGGAAAAAAAUGUGGGAUCUUUUUUCAAUUUGUUCUCACCCUCCAAGCAUGCUGGGUGCUGCGCUGAGCCCUGUGAGGGGCUGGCAGCAUCGCCCCCAAGAAACUGAGGCUUAGACAGGAAAGGCCACCUGCCUGGUCACCGGGUUCUCCUACCUGGAAGGAGGCAGUUUUAGCUGAGGAAGGAUAUCCAGAUGGGCCCUCCAUGGUUCCUUCCCACCAGAACUUCUCAGCCAUGGGCAAGGAGGCAGCCAGGGACCCAGCACCUUUCAUCCCUUGGUUUCCUGCUCCCCUUCUGGGUAGGGCACGAAGUGACGCACAGGUGUGGGCAUCUCUGCCAAGCCAGCUCUGCCCAGGAUUUAACUAGAGCUGUGAGGCUUGUUGACCCAGAAAACGUGAUUUGGGAGACGCCAAGGCCUCCCCUCCCCUGACAGGACUGGGGGCAGAAGUUCUGGCCUUUCCAGUGUGCAGGGAGAAAGGUUUUACCUGAUAGGUUCCUGCCCUCAUCCUAGGGUCAGCCCAGGGACUUAGCCUCCCUGGCGGGUUUCUGGAGUGGAGCAUGGGACUGGUCAGAACCUUACCGCGAGUUAAGUAACAACUGGGUGGAGGUUAAAGGUAAGCACGCAGACAGGCAGGUGGGUGGGAGGGGAGGGGGCUAUGCUUGGGAGGCUUCCAGACCUUGGGGCUGGCUUUAUCUGGCCUCUUCCAGGCCUCCUUAUCCCAGCCCACCCACCUUACAGUUAGGGCCCGUUUUGCCCUUGCCCUGCCAGGGUGAGAUCCUGGCCAGGGAGAGGCGUAUACAAAGUACAGCGUGGACACACGACACCCCUGACUUAAGAGUCCAAGUCCGCUGGAGGAAGAGGCUUUGUUUCACCAAAUCACUUGGGCAAAAAGAAGCCAGGUAGCCAGGAGUGGGUGGCAGGCACCUGUAAUCCCAACUAUUCGGGAGGCUGAGGCAGGAAAAUCACUUGACCCCAGGAGGAGGAGGUUGUAGUGAGCCGAGAUCACGCCACUGCAAUCCAGCCUGGGCGACAGAGCCAGACUCUGUCUUAAAAAAAAAUAAUAAAAUAAAAAUUAUACUGAGGUGGAGUUAAACUGUAACAUACUUGAUUCCCUCAGCCCUUUUUGGCUGUUUUACUAUAGUCCCUAUUUUGAUUGUUAUGCUAAUAUUUGUGGAAAGAGAUCUUGUAUUUGCUGAAUCAUAAUCACAUCAGUACUACUUUGGCUGGUUUAAGUACAAAUGAAUAAAACCACCAUUUUUCCUUUAAAAAAAAAAAAAGGGCAGGAUGUGACUCCAGGCUCUUAAAAAACAAACAAAAAGCCAGGACACAGAACUCAGUCCCCCGGCCUAAGCUCAUCCCCGCGAGCUGGCGAAGGCCUUUCCCAUCUACACAGCCUCCUCAGCCAUCUGUUCACUGCACUCACUCCACUGUAUCCCAGAGACUCAUGUGUGCCAGGCACUAUCUAGGUGCUGAGAAAAGCCGCACAAGGCCCUGCCCUCUGGCGAGCCUUUAUUCCAGGCGACAUACCUCCCUCCACAGGUGAAAACAGCACCCAUGUCACACCAGAGCUUGAGGCCAAAGCUAGAGAACCCUCACCUGACUGGCCAGUCCCUGUUCCUCCCUGGGGUAGACUCUGGGGAAGAGGGGUGAGGAUGAGCUUGGGUCAGCAGCUCCAAGGUUUAAGGUCUGUCUUGGUUGUUUUAAAAUGCAGCUUAAUUGGCUGGGCCUGGUGGCUCACACCUAUAAUCCCAGCACUUUGGGAGGCCAAGGCAGGAGGAUCCCUUGAGCUGAGGAGCUGGAGACCAGCCUAGGCAACAAAGCGAGACCCCCAUCUCUAAAAAAUAUAUGUAUUUUUAAAAAUGUUAGAAAAUGAAAAGAUGGCUUAAUUGCAUGAACAAAUGUAUUAGUUAACCAACUAUGAGGAAACACUGAGAAACAUAACCACACACUCUACAAAGCUCCCUGGCCCUUGGCACUUGGACCCACACCCACACCCCACAAAGCCUUGUCUCUUGAUUUCUGCUUCCAUGUCAUGCUGACCCCCUCAGCUCCCCACUACUUUUCCCCUUACCCCACUUUGUUGUUUUCCAUGGAACUCAAUCAAACCAGUUUAGACCUACUGGAAGGUGAGCUCCACUGGGGUGGGGGCGGGCCACCACUGUUUCCAGCUGUAUUAAGUCCCGAAUGGGAUGACCCUUGGAAGACACACCUAAUAAAUAUGCUCAAUGAACGAAUGAGACCAUCGAAAUUGCAGUGAGUGUUCAAUGAGAUAAAGACUAUCAUUGUGUAAUUGCUCUUAAAAAAUUCCUGUAAGUGGAAUUGCUGAGUCAAAGAAUAUGAACCUUUUAGAGAAGCUUUUUAUCCUUCAAAGAAAAUACAAUUAGGCCAGCCCUGUGAGUUUAUCCACACUCAAUUCCUAGUGACUGCUGUCAGGACAGCACACAACAGCUUUAAUUUCGAUUUUUUUUUUUUUUUUUGAUAAGUCUCGCUCUGUCGCCCAGGCUGGCAUGCAGUGGUGUCAUCUCAGCUUACUGCAAUCUCUUGCCUCCUGGGUUCAAGCGAUUCUCCCACCUCUGCCUCUCAAGUAGCUGGGAUUACAGGCAUGCGCCACCAUACCCGGCUAAUUUUUUUUAGUAGAGAUGGAGUUUCACCAUAUUGGCCAGGCUGGUCUCGAACUCCUGUCCUCAGGUGAUCCACCCACCUUGGCCUCCCAGUGUUGGGAUUACAGGCCUGAGCCACCACACCCAGCCUGGAUUUUUUUUUUUUUUUUUUUGAGACGGGAGUCUCGCUGUCACCAGGCUGGAGUGCAGUGGCACGAUCUCAGCUCACUGCAACCUCCGCCUCCCUAGUUCAAGUGAUUCUCCUGCCUCAGCCUCCUGAGCAGCUGGGACUACAGGCAUGUACCUGGGACUACAGGCGUGCACCACCAUGCCCAGCUAAUUUUUUUUUUUUUUUUUUUGAGACAGAGUCUUGCUGUUGUCACCCAGGCUGGAGUAGUGGCUCAAUCUUGGCUCACUGCAACCUCCGACUCCUGACCUCGUGAUCCGCCCGCCUUGGCCUCCCGAAGUGCUGGGAUUAUAGGUGUGAGCCGCUGCGCCUGGCCAAUUUGGAUUUAUUUGACUACUUAUACUGGGUUGAAGUGUGCCCCCCGAAUUCAUGUCCUCUCCAAACCUCAGAAUGUGACCUUAUUUGGAAAGAGGGUCUUUGCAGAUGUAAUCGGUUAAGAUGAGGUCAAACUGGGUUAGGGUGGCCCCUAAAUCCAGACUGGUGUCCAUACAAGACAGACACAUAGGCCGGGCGUGGUGGCUCAUGCCUGUAAUCCCAGCACUUUGGGAGGCCGAGGCAGGUGGAUCACCUGAGGUCAGGAGCUCGAGACCAGCCUGGCCAACAUGGUGAAACCCCGUCUCUACUAAAAAUACAAAAAUUAGCCAGGCGUGGUGGCAGGCGCCUGUAAUCUCACCUACUAGGGAGGCUGAGGCAGGUGAAUCACUUGAACCCAGGAAGCGGAGGUUGCAGUGAGCCAAGAUCAUGCCAUUGCACUCCAGCUUGGUCAACAAGAGUGAAACUCCAUCUCAAAAAAAAAAGAGACAGAGUGAAGAAUGCCAUGUGAACACAGGCAGAGACCGGAGUGACGACUCUACAAGCCUAAGGGAUGCAAGGACUGCCAGCAGCCACCAGGAGUCACGGGAAGGAUUCUCUCUCCCUCAGAUCCUCCAGAAGGAACCAACCCUGCCACCAAUGACUUUGGGAACCAACAGAAUAAAUCUGUUAAUUUAAGCUAGCAUGCUUGUAGCAAUUAGUUAUAGAAGUCUCAGGAAAACAAAUACACCAAUCAAGAAUUUUUUCCUUGGCUGGACACAGUGGCUCACACCUGUAAUCCCAGCACUUUGGGAGGCUGAGGUGGGUGGAUCACCCGAGGUCAGGAGUUCGAGACUAGCCUGGCCAAGACUGCGAAACCCCAUCUUUACUAAACAUACAAUUAGCUGGGUGUGGUGGUGGGUGGUAAUCCCAGCUACUCAGGAGGCUGAGACAGGAGAAUCACUUGAACCCGGGAGGCAGAAGUCGCAGUGAGCCGAGAUCUCACCACUGCACUUCAGCCUGGGCAACAGAGUGAGACUCCGUCU
Molecule: long non-coding RNA, 5365 nt
Filed under: Homo sapiens (human)
Lineage: Eukaryota; Metazoa; Chordata; Mammalia; Primates; Hominidae
Description: HSALNT0354963
Rfam family: Metazoan signal recognition particle RNA (bases 4534-4650)
Source: RNAcentral